Molecule: regulatory RNA element, 85 nt
Organism: Actinoplanes utahensis
Lineage: Bacteria; Bacillati; Actinomycetota; Actinomycetes; Micromonosporales; Micromonosporaceae
Rfam family: c-di-GMP-II-GAG riboswitch aptamer
Source: Rfam
GGCCGUGGGCGAGGCACUGAACCGUCGGGCGAGUUGGUCGCCCAUGUCCGGCGGGGAGCCAGCGGCGAAACCGACGUCCUUGGUC